RNAcentral lists this ribosomal RNA (392 nucleotides) under uncultured bacterium. RNAcentral describes it as "partial 16S ribosomal RNA". It matches the Rfam family "Bacterial small subunit ribosomal RNA", at positions 523 to 918 of the family's 1533-position model. The record is from RNAcentral.
AUACGGAGGAUCCGAGCGUUAUCCGGAUUUAUUGGGUUUAAAGGGUGCGCAGGCGGCCCUUUAAGUCAGCGGUUAAAUCGUGGGGCUCAACCCCAUUCUGCCGUUGAUACUGGGUGGCUUGAUUGCGGUCGAGGUUGGCGGAAUUCGUUGUGUAGCGGUGAAAUGCAUAGAUAUGACGAAGAACACCGAUUGCGUAGGCAUCUGACCAGGCCGCAAAUGACGCUCAUUCCCGAAAGUUCGGGGAUCGAACAGGAUUAGAUACCCUGGUAUUCCGCACAGUAAACGAUGAAUACUUGUUUUCGGCGAUAUAAUGUCGGAGGCAAAGCGAAAGCGAUAAGUAGUCCACCUGGGGAGUACGCCGGCAACGGUGAAACUCAAAUGAAUUGACGGGG